CCUGGGAUUCAAAUGGCCUGGCAGGAAGUGCUCUAGCAGAGGGACUCUGGCCUUGCAAGAGUCCCUAUUUCCCCCUUUUUUUUUGCUUUUCACACAGUAAAACCCUGCUUUACUUCCCUUUGAGUCGUCUGUGAGCCUAAAUUUUUGUGGCUGUGGGAAGGACAAGAACCCCAUCUUUAGCUGAAAUAAGGAAAAGUUCCGCAACAUUUUUGGCACACACCCUGGGGGCUCCGGAAGUGAAAGUUCCCAGGAGAUGAAGACAUUGAAACUGCCAUCAUAAAAUUAAUAAAAGGUUCAAGAUUAGAAUUAUGGUAUUGGCCUGGAUUUUGUUAAGACAGAGACAUAGGAAUGCUGUCGGAACUGGACCUUGAUGAAGGAAAUACUUUCUGACUCAUUGGAAUUUGUUAUAGUCAAAUUUGCCUAUGUGAUAACUUAGGUCUUCACGAUGGCCCAGAGUAAGACGACGCAGGAGGACCCUUCUAGUCAUUUAAUUAUUGCUUGACCAGAACUGUGCCUUGUAAGAAAUGCUUGCUGUUUGGAAACUUGUGAAGACCUGCAUCCCUUUGUAUCUCAAAUAAAGACAGAGGUGUUUCCAGACCUAAGAAUAACAGGAACAUGGAGGAGUGGCAUCUCCAGUGUAGCCACCCACCAAAGCCUCAUCCUGAACACUAUGGCCUAGUGGGUCACUUACAGGGAUGUAGCUGGCAUUGAUGUAGUCAGAGCAAGGAUCAUCAUCUACAUUGGAGAGCUUCACUCGCGUGGCAUCAUCUGGAAGGAGAGAUUUGCUGCUGAGUCUUGGAGUGACUUUUCUACAGUUUAUGUGAUGUGUGUGAUGUGCCUUAGCUCUGAUCCCCACAACAGCCACAGAUGGGAAGUGAUCUUAUCUCCAUUUUGCAGAUGAGGCUCAGGCAGGAUAACUAACUUGCCCCAUGUUGCAUAGGUGGCCUAUAACCAGUCAGACACAGGAGACAACAUGAAGCCCCAUCUGUGCUUCCCUUUCUGACAUUACCACAUUUGCCUGAUGGAGUGGCCAGCUCCCUUUCACUGCUGGAAUGAAUACAAUCCAGAAAACCUACCUUCUAUUGCUUUACCUAAUGGGGUAAGGAAAUUUAAGUAGAAAUUGCUAACCGAAGACUUUGCUAAGCAAACCCAGGUCUGCUUGAUGUCAGAGCCCUUGCUGUUAACCCCAUUUACUGCUUAGCCUCCAAAGAGAAGCAAUAGCAUCACAUGGGGAAAUGUCAACAGCAUAAGAGGACUUUCAUAAUCAGAAUUUAAACUGGCUAUUAUCCCUCUGGAGGGAAGUGCAGGAAUAUACAAGCUAUUUCUUAUUAAAGGCAUUCAGAGCUUGAGAUUGUCCAUAUCGAGCUAUAUUAUAUUUCUUUAGCCUCAUUUCAUUUUUGGAGAAAAAUGCAGAAAUGGCUAGAGGAAGACAGUAUUACAAAUUUUGACACAAAACUUACAGGGCAAUAUAUUGUUGUAUCGAUUUUUCCCUCUAUUCUCCGGCAAGAGUGCAAUGUCACAUGACUGGUUUCGGCCCACGUCUUUUAACUCCUGUUAGGUCAAAUAUGAGUUUGUAAGUGGAGAAUAUGAAAUAGAAUAAAGCAAAUCAUACAGUCCUGGAGAUAACAUAAUAACAUGAAAAUAUAUACACUAGCUAUUGUUUAUGAAUGCCUAGUACUCAACAUGCAUUAGCCCUGAUCCCCACAACAGCCCCACAAGGGAGGUGGUGGUCUCACUAUUUUACAGGUGAGGCUCAGUCAGGAUAACUGAUGUGCCCCAGGUCACCCAAGUGGCAAACCUGAGAAUCAGUUCCAAAAGCUACGUGCUUUUUGCGAAACCACGGCAUCUUCCAGCCAAGCAAAUGGCCAGGCUGAAUAUCUGACAGCUUUAGGUCUGCAUUUGAGAUUUGUUAAUUCUUCCUUACUAUCUGAUCCAGGUAGCCCUUGGUUUGCUGUGUUAUUCUGGAGCUCAAGCUGGCCUCUAAGAUUAGAUGGUAUAUUCUAUUCAGGGCAUAGUUUAGGCAUAAAAGAGUGCUCAGCUGAGAUUCUAA
RNAcentral lists this long non-coding RNA (2050 nucleotides) under Homo sapiens (human). Its description in RNAcentral is "HSALNT0191250". Lineage: Eukaryota; Metazoa; Chordata; Mammalia; Primates; Hominidae. The record is from RNAcentral.